GACGAACGCUGGCGGCGUGCCUAAUACAUGCAAGUCGAGCGGACCGGAUUGGGGCUUGCCUUGAUUCGGUCAGCGGCGGACGGGUGAGUAACACGUGGGCAACCUGCCCGCAAGACCGGGAUAACUCCGGGAAACCGGAGCUAAUACCGGAUAACACCGAAGACCGCAUGGUCUUCGGUUGAAAGGCGGCCUUUGGGCUGUCACUUGCGGAUGGGCCCGCGGCGCAUUAGCUAGUUGGUGAGGUAACGGCUCACCAAGGCGACGAUGCGUAGCCGGCCUGGGAGGGUGACCGGCCACACUGGAACUGAGACACGGCCCAGACUCCUACGGGAGGCAGCAGUAGGGAAUCUUCCGCAAUGGGCGAAAGCCUGACGGAGCGACGCCGCGUGAGCGAAGAAGGCCUUCGGGUCGUAAAGCUCUGUUGUGAGGGACGAAGGAGCGUCGUUCGAAGAGGGCGGCGCGGUGACGGUACCUCACGAGAAAGCCCCGGCUAACUACGUG
Molecule: ribosomal RNA, 501 nt
Filed under: uncultured bacterium
Lineage: Bacteria
Description: partial 16S ribosomal RNA
Rfam family: Bacterial small subunit ribosomal RNA
Source: RNAcentral